AGCGAACGCUGGCGGCAGGCCUAACACAUGCAAGUCGAACGGAUCCUUCGGGAUUAGUGGCGGACGGGUGAGUAACACGUGGGAACGUGCCCUUUGGUUCGGAACAACUCAGGGAAACUUGAGCUAAUACCGGAUGUGCCCUUCGGGGGAAGGAUUUAUCGCCAUUGGAGCGGCCCGCGUCUGAUUAGCUAGUUGGUGGGGUAAAGGCCCACCAAGGCGACGAUCAGUAGCUGGUCUGAGAGGAUGAUCAGCCACAUUGGGACUGAGACACGGCCCAAACUCCUACGGGAGGCAGCAGUGGGGAAUCUUGCGCAAUGGGCGAAAGCCUGACGCAGCCAUGCCGCGUGAAUGAUGAAGGUCUUAGGAUUGUAAAAUUCUUUCACCGGGGACGAUAAUGACGGUACCCGGAGAAGAAGCCCCGGCUAACUUCGUGCCAGCCGCCGCGGUAA
Molecule: ribosomal RNA, 449 nt
Filed under: uncultured bacterium
Lineage: Bacteria
Description: partial 16S ribosomal RNA
Rfam family: Bacterial small subunit ribosomal RNA
Source: RNAcentral